Molecule: ribosomal RNA, 460 nt
Filed under: uncultured bacterium
Lineage: Bacteria
Description: partial 16S ribosomal RNA
Rfam family: Bacterial small subunit ribosomal RNA
Source: RNAcentral
CCUACGGGAGGCAGCAGUGAGGAAUAUUGGUCAAUGGACGAGAGUCUGAACCAGCCAAGUAGCGUGAAGGAUGACUGCCCUAUGGGUUGUAAACUUCUUUUAUAUGGGAAUAAAAUGUUCCACGUGUGGGAUUUUGUAUGUACCAUAUGAAUAAGGAUCGGCUAACUCCGUGCCAGCAGCCGCGGUAAUACGGAGGAUCCGAGCGUUAUCCGGAUUUAUUGGGUUUAAAGGGCGCGUAGGUGGAUUGUUAAGUCAGUUGUGAAAGUUUGCGGCUCAACCGUAAAAUUGCAGUUGAAACUGGCAGUCUUGAGUACAGUAGAGGUGGGCGGAAUUCGUGGUGUAGCGGUGAAAUGCUUAGAGAUCACGAAGAACUCCGAUUGCGAAGGCAGUUCACUGGACUGCAACUGACACUGAGGCUCGAAAGUGUGGGUAUCAAACAGGAUUAGAUACCCGAGUAGUC